This 72-nucleotide transfer RNA is filed under the name Trichonephila inaurata madagascariensis. It matches the Rfam family "tRNA". Rfam says of the family: Transfer RNA (tRNA) molecules are approximately 80 nucleotides in length. Their secondary structure includes four short double-helical elements and three loops (D, anti-codon, and T loops). Lineage: Eukaryota; Metazoa; Arthropoda; Arachnida; Araneae; Nephilidae. The record is from Rfam by way of RNAcentral.
GAAGGUAUAGCUCAGUGGUAGAGCAUUCGACUGCUAAUUGAGAGGGCCCCGGUUCAAACCCGGGUGUCCUCU